This 74-nucleotide transfer RNA is filed under the name Portunus trituberculatus (swimming crab). Its description in RNAcentral is "tRNA-Ala". It matches the Rfam family "tRNA". From Rfam's summary of the family: Transfer RNA (tRNA) molecules are approximately 80 nucleotides in length. Their secondary structure includes four short double-helical elements and three loops (D, anti-codon, and T loops). Further hydrogen bonds mediate the characteristic L-shaped molecular structure. tRNAs have two regions of fundamental functional importance: the anti-codon, which is responsible for specific mRNA codon recognition, and the 3' end, to which the tRNAs corresponding amino acid is attached (by aminoacyl-tRNA synthetases). tRNAs cope with the degeneracy of the genetic code in two manners: having more than one tRNA (with a specific anti-codon) for a particular amino acid; and 'wobble' base-pairing, i.e. permitting non-standard base-pairing at the 3rd anti-codon position. Lineage: Eukaryota; Metazoa; Arthropoda; Malacostraca; Decapoda; Portunidae. The record is from Rfam by way of RNAcentral.
CGCCCGGUAGCUCAGUGGUUAGAGCGCUGGCUUUGCAAGCCAGAGGACGGGGGUUCGAUUCCCCGGCCAGGUGG